Molecule: long non-coding RNA, 3004 nt
Filed under: Cyanistes caeruleus (blue tit)
Lineage: Eukaryota; Metazoa; Chordata; Aves; Passeriformes; Paridae
Description: lncRNA (ENSCCEG00000007994.1)
Source: RNAcentral
CCUUUGCCCUCCAUCCCCUGCCCUGCACCCACUGUGCACUCCUCCUGUGUCCCCCCGCCAAGCUGCAGCCCUUUUUCCUUCCCCCCCUUGCCGUCCCGCUCCCCUCCAUAUCCCUUAGCUGCAGCCGUGUUCACCUCCUCUUCUCAGCGCCCCCAGUUUGCAGCCCACUGCUCCCGUCUUUCCUCAUCCCCUUGCAUCCCUCACGCCGCUCCUGUGAUGCUUCAAACGGGGAGCCGCAGACUCCCCAGUCUUUGCCAAAGCAGAUACCUGCUGGGCUCGGACACCCCCGGGAGAGACCGGCUCCGUGUCGGUGCCAGGCGUCGCCAGGCCCGGAGCGAGGCGCGGAGGGGGCAGGCAGGUGGCGGAGGCGCAGGUAUUUGUAUCUGUGAGCAAGUGAGCGAGGUUCCCCGUUCUGCGAGCAUGCGGCUCUGCGGAGCUGGUGACACCUCCCUCGCUCGUAGGGACGCUCGCCGCCGGGGCUCUGCGGCGUGCCGAGGCUGCCUGCGCCCUGCUGCCCUGCAAAGGGUGGUGCGGCGGCCGGAGCUGCAGCGUCUUCACCCCGAGUCAAGCCUUGCAAUUGCAUUGCAGCGGGAUUGUGAGGUCUUGUUCAGAUUCAACUGAAGCUGGUUGAACUCUAUUGACUGCAGUGGCUUGGAUGGUGGGCAGUGCAUCUCUCAGGUCAGUUCAGGUUUUCAUGUCCUUUGUUUCAAAAUUUCUGCACAUGGAAUUAGUUUAUUCAAUUUGCAGCUUAGAGCAAUUUCAGAAGAAAUCCCAGAGGAGGAAAAAAAGAACACUACCACCUGAACAGAUCAAAAUAAUCAAACGGGUUGUGUUGUGGAACUGAGAUGUGACUGGCAGCUGCUGCGUGGAGGUGGACAACCAGCAGUCACACUUUCUUAGCAUGGCUUGCUCUGCUGGGGCAUUGGGAGCAAGUACUGUCGGGAUUAGAGUGCAAAGAGAUAAUGUUUAAAAUCUGAGGUAGGAGCUGGUGAACUUAGUGACAACUGAAUGCUGGGGUGGAAGAAAAAACUCUGCCAACAGUAAGUCACCCUUUCAGGGAGCUGAAUUAAACUUCUCAUUUCCUUCUGAACUCUUCAGUUCAGUCCCACCAUGGGUGAACGUUGUGCAGUCUCUUCCAUGCUUUUUUCCCCCUGUUUGAUUUGAGGGCCCUUUGUAGCAACUUAUCCCCUAUGCACCCUGGUAUCAGGGAAGUUAUUCUGCCUGCAAUCCCCAUCUGAGCUUAAUUUUGUUGUUCUCCAUAGCAUGAGGACUGAUGGCUUCACAAAUCUCAUAAUACCUCCUCCAUCUCUCCCCUGGCCAGCCCAGCAGCAUGACAGCUUCAUUUAACAUGCACUGUCUCCUUUGGCUUCCUGUCCCUAGACUCAUUAUUUUGCAGGCGUCUGUAUCAAGCUCCUGUGUUGCCUGCCCAAAAGGAUUGUAUAUCAGAAGUAAUGAAAAGGAGAAGAGUCCUCAAGGCUGGCCUGUAAAUCCCAAGUCUGUUUACUAGAAGAAAUUGCAGUUCUCUCCCAUGUCCUUGACCCAGCCCUGUUGCAUGUGUUCAUUCUUCCCUGCCUGUCAUGGUGCAUCUCUUGAUGAGCACCAAGUGAGCCUUGCAGGCUCUCUGGGUUCUCGCGGCACGAAGUGUUUGGUCCCUGGGAUGUUCUCCUUUAUUCACCUGCUAACACAGAGGCAGGCUGAGACCUGAAGAGGUGCCUUCUCUUCAGCCAUCCCCCAAAAUAAUUUGGAUUCACCUAGAACAUCAUUACAGGGAAGGUGUUGUGAAGUUUUCUUGAUGGUAAACACUUAAGGGCUGGGGCCUCUCAUCUCCCACUUGAAGUGUAGUGUUACCCUCGGGCCCUAGAGACUGAAGUGUUUUCAUGUUAGCUGCAGGGUGAGAUAGUCUCUCUCUGAAAAGCUUACCAGUUAAGUGCAAGAUAGGGAACAUCAGGGUGCAAUUCCCCUGUCCAGAUGUUGGCAUCUAACAUCUCAGUCCCCCUAUAGAUGGAGCAGAGGAAAUGAGUACUUCCACCUCAUUGUAAUGCAGGUGGAUUCCUGUAACAGAUCAGACAGACUGUGCCUGUCUCUGUUCAUUGAUGAUAGAGAGGCUCUGGAUGAUGAGCACUUGUGGACAUAUCUUUGCUGUAGGUGAGAUGAGCCCCACCUUGACUAGCUGCACUGAGCAUGUUGGGGUAGCACAAAAAGGAGGCAAGACUGUUGAAUGUGGUCUGUCCUUGGCUGUCUGAUCUGGUAAGCAUGUUCAUCUUCCUUUGCUCAAGAACCCACCCUUCACUUUGAUUCCUUGCUGGCCAAGAGUGGAGGAGAGUGGUGUCAUCCAGACAGCAACUGGAAGACCGUAUUAAACAUUUCUCAGAGGUGCUCCUAGGACUGAGCUCCAAUCCUGUCCCAGCUGUGGACCAAGAGAUAUUUUAGCCAAGUGAAGGCAGAAACUGUAGGUAUGAAUGGAACAGAUUUGUCCUUGGUUCAUCCUUUCAUACUGAAGCCAAGUAGCUGCUAACAUAGGUCAAGGAUUACUUGGGUACUUCUCAGGAGCUCCUGACCUCCUGCAUGUAUCCAAACAGGUAUCGUAUUGGAGUGGGGGAAGACUUGAGACCUCUAAAUCUAGAGCUGAAACAAUGGUAUGGGCACUUCAGAUUGCAAACCAGCAGGUGAUAGCAGCAGGAGCCCUCCAGAGUGUCAAAAGGGCUGCACGUCUGGGUGUUCCAGGCUUGGUGGGUAGAACUCUUUCUGUUAGGGGAAAAAGGCUUUUUCCUAACACUGAAGCACUGCUAAAUGCUAUAUUGUGGCUUAUUGAGGAUGAUGGAGUGAAUUUCUGUAUGUUGUAUCCCAUUUGACCUGAACCUUCAUGGUUUCUCUGAAGACCCCGACGUGGUCUACAGGGAGCAGCUUGGAGGAGGCCUAGAGCUGUUCUUGAAGGAACUAAAAAAAUGAAGUUAAGCCAACAGAAAGGAAUAAAGCCUGACACCCUGGGGAGGAUUUUCUUGAC